This 463-nucleotide ribosomal RNA is filed under the name uncultured bacterium. RNAcentral describes it as "partial 16S ribosomal RNA". It matches the Rfam family "Bacterial small subunit ribosomal RNA", at positions 28 to 507 of the family's 1533-position model. The record is from RNAcentral.
GAUGAACGCUGACAGAAUGCUUAACACAUGCAAGUCGAUGGGGAAGUGGUGUUUGCACCAUGGCAACCAUGGCGGACGGGUGAGUAACGCGUAAGGGACUUACCUGCAGGACUGGGAUAACAGGGGGAAACUCCUGACAAGACCGGAUAAUGUCAUGGAGCUGCAUGGCUUUAUGAUGAAAGGAGACGCCUGCGGAGAGCCUUGCGUCCUAUUAGCUAGUUGGUGAGGUAAUGGCUCACCAAGGCGAAGAUAGGUAGCCGGCCUGAGAGGGUGGACGGCCACAAGGGGACUGAGAUACGGCCCUUACUCCUACGGGAGGCAGCAGUGGGGAAUAUUGGACAAUGGGGGCAACCCUGAUCCAGCAAUUCUGUGUGCACGAAGAAGGUUUUCGGAGUGUAAAGUGCUUUCAGCAGGGAAGAAGUAAGUGACGGUACCUGCAGAAGAAGCGACGGCUAAAUACGUG